Long non-coding RNA from Fundulus heteroclitus (mummichog), 2286 nucleotides. RefSeq lists it as uncharacterized. The record is from RefSeq and is a predicted model, not a curated record. The transcript has 5 exons. NCBI's taxonomy places the organism in Eukaryota, Metazoa, Chordata, Actinopteri, Cyprinodontiformes, Fundulidae.
AGUUUAGUUUAAAGGUUAUGUGACUUUAUUUAGCGUAUAUGAAUAUCUUCUUGUAUGUAAGGGUGUAUCGGAGUACUAAUUGGUUUUGUCAAGGAUUCUCCUGACACCGUAACACUUUUUAUGUUUUUUAUACUUGGUUAAAUAAAGGAAAUAGAUGCUAAAGAGAAAUCAGAAUCAACUAUAGGCAGGACAAAAUAGUCUUACAAGAUCCGUGAUGAAAUUGUAAACUAACAAAAAUGAAACAAAAAAUCUGAUUAUUGCAUCUGUAAUCCUAUCAGGGAGUUUGUUCAGGGAAGUGAUGGGAAAGCAGGUUCCCUCGGCAGUUUGCGGCGCGGCGCGGCCGACCGCAGGACAGGAGUAAACCGUUUAAAGUGAAAUUUCAUGUUUUUGAUUUAAACCACCCAAGAUGAUGUAGUAGCAGCGCCGGAGAGCGUUUUUUUUUUCCCAUCCCCCACCUCCGCUCCCGGCGAGCAUAAAUCACUCCAGUGACGUAAAAGCAGCAGAGGUUCUGCGAAGGACCGAGCGGUCACAGGGAAAAUCUGGAGGUUACAGGAAGCAGCAUCUGCAACCGCGCUGCUUUUAGCUCCUCCAGCUUAAGAGAUAAAAAAAAAAAGAAGCUGGGACAGUGUUGCCUCUCUUUUAUGUCUAUAUCUGAGGCUCCGUGAGUGUCUCCAGCGCGUCCGUGGCACAGAGUGUGAUGGCCGAGCGCUGGGAAUAAUUAACUCCCGUGACCCAGCCGCUGCAGCGACGGGGCGACCCGCUGAGACUGGAACGCCUGUCAAAUAGACUGGUCAUCACGCUCUUCAGCGGAUGAGAAGGAGCCGCGUGAGCCUCAGACGCACACGCAUGCGCGCACGGACGGGUUCAGACAGACCCGGCGUGCACUAAUUAACACAUUUAACACCUCCAUAGGCCGGACAGAGACACACGGAGGCCCUCCAUAGGUUCUUCAUAAAGCCGGAGUGAGAAAACUGACUGCACUCUGAUGAGGACUGACGGGGGAAUCUAAAGCACUCUUAAAAGACCAGGAAGAGUUUUAUUUUUAAAUAGCGUGAUGCCACAAAGCCUUGCUGCUAUCACUCCGUGUUAAGAUAUCGUGGGAUCCUCACAGCAGCCCACGUCUGGAACAAAAUCUUCCUGUCCACGAAAGGAUGCUCAUCAAAGAACAUCUUCCUCUUCAGGGUUUGGCAGCAAAAGGGAGAAACGAGCUGCAGGUGCUGCUGAAAAGCUCAUGGAGCAAACCAUUUGGAAGGGAUAAUAAUGCUGUAACAUCUAUCAUGCCUGAGUCCCAGAUCUCAUCAGCGCAGAUGGUAAUGGCGGUGUGGUGGCAGCACCUGCUCCUCUGGAUCCAGGCCGGCCACAUGUCUGUCUCAUUACAGAGGGCGUAACACAGCCAAACAUCUGCCUCAGUCACUAUCCCACCGCAGAGCCAUGUAUCCACGGUCAGCGGGCUCAGGGCUGCCAGGAAAACCCAGCUCACGCAGCGAAAGCAGCAAGACGCCGCAAGUCACCUUAGCUGAACCUAAAUUUAAUUUAAGGCGGCAUCAUAAUUUGAUUUCAGAGAUGUGUUACUUUUCCCAUGGCGGCAAAACAAGUUUCCUCUCUCCCCCCUAUGCCUGAGGAGUCCAGCUCAUCCACCUGAGGAAUGAAGAUGAGCCAGAGAAAGGACGAGGAGGGAGGCUUCUACAAGGCCGCGAUCCUCUUUUUGGAGACGAAUUAUCUCAGCAGGUGGAUAUACUACACCAUCCCAUGUGAUAACCCAUUAAGCCAAGGUUAGGAGAUAUAAAGCCUGUGCGUGUCGACAUGUGCAGCAGGUGAUGCUGAAGUCCCACACUUGAUAGACCCAGGCCUGGAAUCGGAGGUAAUGGGCCUGACAGCCGAGCCUAUCAAGAUAUACUCAUUGACCCACACACCUCACACAACUCCUCGUCCCCUGAUGGAGCGCGCUGAUAAAAGCCGGGCCAAAACAAAUGCAUCACCGCGCGCACACACGGGCCCAUUCGGUCUCUCGUAAAGAGGAAGAACAAGGCGAGCCUGCCGCUUCAUGGAGAACAUGUUUUUGCCACGUUUGGACAUGUUCCUGCACAUUUAGUACGUUUUAGAAGUUUGUUUUACGCCAUUCCUGAAUGUUAUAUGGAGGACAGAGACUGCCAAAAUUAAAAUAAAUGCAAGAAUGUUAAAAAUGGGUUUAAAAUGUGUGAACAUGCUGUUGUUUUUCUUUUAUUUAUAAAUGUAUGAAUUUGUUUGACUCGUGUUUUUUCACGAUUAAAAAAUUCAUUUUUUUUU